GUGGGGAAUAUUGGACAAUGGGCGAAAGCCUGAUCCAGCCAUGCCGCGUGUGUGAAGAAGGUCUUCGGAUUGUAAAGCACUUUAAGUUGGGAGGAAGGGCAGUAAGUUAAUACCUUGCUGUUUUGACGUUACCGACAGAAUAAGCACCGGCUAACUUCGUGCCAGCAGCCGCGGUAAUACGAAGGGUGCAAGCGUUAAUCGGAAUUACUGGGCGUAAAGCGAGCGUAGGUGGUUUUGUAAGUUGGAGGUGAAAUCCCCGGGCUCAACCUGGGAACUGCCUCCAAAACUGCAUGACUAGAGUACGGUAGAGGGUAGUGGAAUUUCCUGUGUAGCGGUGAAAUGCGUAGAUAUAGGAAGGAACACCAGUGGCGAAGGCGACUACCUGGACUGAUACUGACACUGAGGUGCGAAAGCGUGGGGAGCAAACAGGAUUAGAAACCCUGGUAGUCC
RNAcentral lists this ribosomal RNA (450 nucleotides) under uncultured bacterium. Its description in RNAcentral is "partial 16S ribosomal RNA". It matches the Rfam family "Bacterial small subunit ribosomal RNA", at positions 354 to 796 of the family's 1533-position model. The record is from RNAcentral.